ACUGGAGUUUUGGGUUGGAGACAGUAAGCUUGAUCUGCUGGGGAGUUGCAUGCUAAAGCCCCCAUUGCAAAGGUGCCUGACAUUCUUUCCCCAUGAGCGAGACAGUGCCUGUUUGUACAGUGUAAUGCUUUGACACACUAAAAUUAGACCAAGGAUAAAAUGAUAGACAAAACUCUGCGAAAAGUGUUUGUCAUAAACCAUUUACAAUGAAACAACGAAUCAAGACCCAAAUCAUGAAAAAAGGCUUUUUGAGUCUUUCAAAGUUAGAACCAGAGUUUGUGUCUCUGUUGUUCCAAGAGACUUUGUAUUUGUAAGUUCCUCUUGUGACACUGAGGGCUUUCAUCUGGCUGCCUGCCCAUAUGCAAAUUGUGGUGAAUUUAAUGCACUUUAAGGAACUCAAUGAAACGGCUUCUAACUCUAAUUAGUAUGUCAGACUCAAACUUAACACUCCAGGAGGUGAUGCUCAUCAUGUCUGUACCCCACUACAGCUGACAUUUAGUGUCCCUUGCCUUCAAACACACCAGUUUGUUCCCUUGAUAGCAUUGGUCUAUAUUUAGGAGGGCCCUGUGACUGUUGCCACAGCGUGUCAGAUUCCUGUGGUAUGCUCCUUUCUGGCUGGACUUGCACCUGCUGCGAGCUUUAACCCUACACUCAUACUGAGCACAGACUGAGGAGCCUCUGCCAAACUUCAGUCAAAAAAAAUCCAGGGCCAACUAUAUGCGGCCAGACUGACUCAACUGUAGUUGGUGGAUACUCUGCAGAAGUUCCUGGACUAUGCUGGAAGAGGACACUGGCCCGAGUGUGGGGUCAGCGAGGGACUGAAGACACAGGACUCCCUCGGGAGGGCUAUCGGCAUGAGAUCUCACAAUGUUCAGGAAUUUCCCCAGCAUCCCUUACUAGAGCAGGCAGUGUGUGUUUCUGAGUAGCCAACGUACUGGCGCAACUACACACUGCAGCGUUGCAUCCUGUGUCACUGGGGUCGGCAGAAAAGCAAUGGAAAGCUGGGUCCUAGAGGGAGACAGCUACUCAUUCCUCCGCAGCGCUCCUCACACCUUCAAUCUGCAAAACAGGGACCGGCCAAAUCGUGUGGAGAUCUUUGAUAUCACCAGAAUCCCAGGUCAACGCAACGUUAUUUCCGAGACCACCUGCCUCUGUGACAUCUUUGGAGACGACUGUGAAACGCAUUCCCUCGCCUGUAGCCCGGCCUCCACAUCAAUUCUUAAAAGGGAGCCGGAUGAAGUGAGACCUGUGGACGACACCAACGACUCAUCAGGAUCCUAUCACACAGCCAACUCCUCAGAGCGCUCCAGUGACUCGACUGAUACAUUUGAGGAUACAAAAGAGGCUUCUCCCUGCACACUCAAAACCAAUCUGAAUUCAUCUGGAUCAGCAACAGCAUUAUCAGAUGGUCUGGAUACAAGCAAGCCUUCGCAAAAAGCUGACUAUCUAGAAUCACACUCUGGUCCAGCAAGCACUGGUGCUUCCCCUGAAACUCAAGGAGUAAAUUCAUGUUCCUUGACAGAGUCCUCUCCCAUUAAUGGACCUUCCAGUGCAUUCGUUUAUUCCAUAGGUGGUGGUCUGCUAACAGAGCACGACAUUGUAUCACCCUCCCCUGAAUUCAGGAGCAAAGCUUCUUCUCCUGAGCUGAAAUAUAGCUCUUCCUCUAAGAGUAAAACCCACAGUGCAGGAGUGACCAGCCCCACAGACACAUCUCAAAGUGGGAAGCCCGUAACAAGCUCAAUAGAAUCGGCAAUACAGCCAACCGCAACCUAUACAUCUGAGACGAAUGAUGAUUUCUCAAUUCAAGAUGAGUUUGGAGAUUUAGUCUCUCCCCUUGAUAGAAGAAAUAUUUGUCUAAUUCCUGUAUUUUCAAUCAUACCUGAAUCAAGAGACAGUCCCCUAUUCUUUUCCGAAAAAGGGAAUAUAAGAGAUUCACUCAAACUCAAAGACAUCAGUCCCAUACCUGUAUCUCCUAUUAUACCACACCAGCUUGGUAACCCCAUAGCGUCUUCACAUGAUCCGGGGGACAAAGCUUUUGUAACUGAGGAUAGAUCUCAAUCACCAACAAGCUCUACUGAUAGACUACUGGAAGGGACAAUUGACACAGUCUCCCUGUCUGGACAUCAGAAAACAUCCAGUUCUUCAGAAGCCUGGACUUCAAGUUUUGUGAGUGAACAAAACCUUACAGCCAAAUCCUCUGAGGUAGGGUUUGAGGUAACCCAUAUUGAAACAAUACACACCAUCCCCUCAAAUGAAAUAAGCGGUAGCGUCUCUGUAUCACCUGUAAUCACUAAUUCACCUGUGAUCACUAAUUUACCUGUAAUCACUAAUUCACCCGUGCCUACAGAAGCUGCAAGCUCCCCUUCAUCUGAGCACGUGUUAAUCACACAUUCACCUGAGCCUAUAGCCGACGCAAGUUCGCUUCAACACAAAGCAGUUACUGGUUCACCUGAGGCUGAAGAAUUACCUUACCCUUCCACACCUGAGCCCACAGUCCUCACUAAUUCUCCUGAGCCUACAAUAUUACCUAACUUUUAUUCACUGGAACCCUCAGAAGUCAUUAGUUCAGGAAUAGUGCUUGAACCAACAGGAAUUACUUCAACAGAACCUGAACUACCAAUUAACCUCACUUCACCUGAACUACUAAAUAACCUAACUUCACCUGAACACACAGAAAUAAUUAAUUCACCAGAACCUGAAUUAGCAGCUAAUCUCAUUUCACCUGAACUAGUAAAUAACCUAACUUCACCUGAACACACAGAAAUUGUUUAUUCACUAGAACCUGAACUAGUACCUAACCUCACUUCACCUGAACACACUGAAAUUGUUAAUUCACUAGAACUUGAAUUAGCAACUAACUUUACUUCAGCUGAACACACAGAAAUUGUUAAUUCACCAGAACCUGAAUUAGCAGCUAACCUCAUUUCAACUGAAUACACAGAAAUUGUUAAUUCACCAAAACUUGAAUUAGCAACUAACUUCACUUCGCCUGCACCCACAAUCAUUUCUGAUUCACCUGAGCCUGAAAUAGUAGCUUAUUGUUCUUCACCAGAACCCACAAAAUUCAGUAGUUCACCGGACUGUACUGUAAUAGUCAUUUCACCUGAGCCCACUGAUUUAUUUGAUCUUAAAUUUGUAGCUAAAUCACUUGAGCCCAACGGAACUGCUAAUUCACUUGAAGCUAUUUCAACUGAGCCUAUUGUGAUUGCCACUUCACCAGAGCUUGAAGCUAAUUCACCUGAGCAUUUAGUAAUCCCUAAUUCACCUGAGCAUUUAGUAAUCCCUAAUUCACCUGAGCAUUCAGUAAUCCCUAAUUCACCUGAGCCUAUAGCGGUGGCUAGUACACCAGGACCGAUAUUAAUUGCAACUUCUCCCAAGACCACAGAUAUUUCUUCUGUCACUUCUACCCCCGAACCUACUCAAAUCACUCAGUCUCCUGAACACCCAAUAAUAGCUAUAUCACCUGAAUUUGUUUUAAAAUCCCCAACACCAAUGUAUAAUCCUACCUGUCCUUCACCUGAAAUACAGAUAACUUACUCAGCUGAGCCCAGAACGACACCCUCUCCCUCAGAAAAUGUGAGAAUAAGCUACUCUCCUGAAUCUAGAGACAUGUCUAGCUCACCACAUUUUGGCCACGGUGCCUCCCCACUGGAUUCAAGAAGAAUGACCCUAACACCGGAGGUGAGCAUUACCACACAGGCAAACCGGGGAAAUCUAUCACCUGACCUCACAAAUAGAACCCCUUCACCUUUCAGAAGUACAACCUCACCUCAGGUAACAGGUUUGACAUACAGUGUUGCAUCAUCUGAUGGUAGGAUCAUGGCAGAGUCACCUGAAAUGAGGGGUAUAACUUGCAGUUAUUUACCAACGGAGAUGAAGAGCAUGGCCCAAUCACCAGACCGUCUAUCUCUCAGAAGCCCUGGAAGCUUCAGUCUGUUGGCUGAGACCAGAAAUACGACCCCCUUCUCUGAGCUGAAGGACAUUUGCUCUUCACCUGAGCUAAGCAAUGUCACCCCUGAGCCAGAACAGAGUGUUUCAGAAUGCUCUCUUGAGUUGUGGUCCCCAGUGAAAGACACAGCAUCCUUUCCAGAUUUACAGAAUAGAACCCUGUCACCGUUUAUCGCUGCAAGAAAUUAUUCACCUCUUCGGUCAUACUCACCUGGGCAACGAGUGAAAUCAAGCUCACCUGGGCAACGAGUGAAAUCAAGCUCACCUGGGCAACGAGUGAAAUCAAGCUCACCUGAAAAAAGAUAUGUUGGGGUCUCACCAGUUCAUUUGGCCACUUCUCCAAAGUCUGAAGGAUGUCAUCGUUCACCAAUCAUUGCUAAAAGUGGAGCUAGCCCCUCUUCUGAGAUUAUAAGCAAAGGACAACAAGAGUCUCCUCUCUCGUUUAAAAGCAAAAGUACAACCCCUUUAUUUGAACCUGACUCAAAGGAUGAGUUACAAGAACAAGAAAUGUGUGGGCUGGUUGCUCAUUCAUACAUAAGUGCAUCCCCAACCCAUCAAUGCAGCCAAAUCAACCAGCCAACAAGUCCCUCUUCUAAAUCCUUAAGGAAAUACCCAACACCAAGGCCAGGAGACACUAACAAAAUCACAGAAACUAAAUCUAAAUUAAUAGACUGUGAGAAUCCUUUAAACCCAGUAGCUUGGUCCCAUUCUGAAAUGGCUUCUAAAGUGGAGCAGCAUAGGAGUUGGGAGGAAAUGAAAGGUGGAACUCAGAAACCUUUGAAAGGCAAUUGGUAGGUACCAGUGUGAGGGCAGGCCACAUGGGAUUGACAUGCAGGGAAAGCCCCACUGUCCGCCAUGGUGACGGCAGUGGAGAAUAUGACCGCCGGCCAUGCCAGGGCGGGGAGGAGUACAGGGCCAGAGAGGGUGAGGAGAGGAAGGCGUCAGUGAAGGGGGAGGGGAGGAGCAGAAAGGAGGGUUACAGAGGGGAACAGGUUGAGCUGUCAUUCAGUGCCAGGAAUAGAAAAGGGCCUGCCAGCUCCAGCUCCAGCGCAGCUCCCACAAGCAGAGAUCCCAAGCUGGGGAUUCCUGCUCGCUCUUAUUCAGAGUGGCUCCUCGCAACUCGACAGCAACAGCAACAGAGUCAGAUAAGAACUCAGACCUUACAGCAAGAGAACAAGGGUGGUGCCAGGAGGCUAAAAGCAGUCCCCGGGAGCAAUAACACCGGGGUUGGCCGCCUUUCUAGCGCUCACACAAGGGAGACCUCCAGCAUGGGGAGCGAGUUUGAUGAGGCUGACAGUGAGGUGAAGUGGCUGACAGACGUGGCGUUCAGAAGCCUCUCGAGCCCUCAGGUGGAUUACCUGGACGUGUACAACUCUAGCCACAGGUCGUCUACAAAUGCCUCACAGCCAUCCACUCAGGAGAGCCCAGGUGGUACAGCAUGGUUAUCCUAUGCAGACCUUCGUGGCUCAUCUCAAGGUGAAGGUGACGAUGUUCCACGUCAGCCUUCCUAUGUGCCACCCCUGGGCGGCUUGGAUCCCUCUAGACGUUUUGAAAUGGGCAGUUUUGAGUGUGUAGAUGUAGCUCUGGAGAGCAGAGAGGAGGCCAGGAAGGGGAAAAGGACCGUUCCCAAAAGGCAGAUUCAGCUCAAGAGACGUGACAACAAUGAACCAAAGACCCAGGAAAACACAGAGUGUGCUUUGGGUUCUCCCUCUACAGAGAGACGGUUCAAUGAUACCUUAGCGCGGCAGCACAGUACACCAGUGACAAUGGAGGAGGAAAUGACAACAGAUAGCCCUGAGGCUGAUCAAACUGACAGAAAACCGAGGAUGCAGAAGUCCUCGUCCCUGGACGAGACAUCAAGCAAAUCAAAAGUUGCCUCAUGUCUUAUUAAGAAUGUACUGUCAAAGAAAAUGCGAAAAGGUGAGAGCAGCCAAACUGCACACCGUAAAGCGGAUUUAAGUCCAUCUGAAGACACAAACGACCCCUUUGAGAGUAUAACCCCACCUCCUGAGAGAGAGCACUCAAAAUCCGACAACGUUAAGUCCAGCCAACUUUCAGACAACAGUCUGCCACCUAUGAACCCACCUGUCAAGGAGGAGCGAAGUCCACCCCAAGGGGCUAAACACCAAAGAGGUCUUGCGCCCAAAGUGCCUCCAAAGCCACUGCAUUACAUUCUUCCUCCUCUUCCUCAAGAUAUUUCCAUGAGGCCCGAACCGCAACACAAAAAUAAAGUCAGGAAAGAAAGUCCUUUCCCUUUGGAGGGCAAGAAAACGGAGAAACAGGACUCGUGGAAUGGUGGAAAGCAGGCGGCUAACCGUAACCCCGGUGACAAGCACAGCCGUGACUCAGCGAAUGUCAGUGUCGGGAACACAGGCACAACUGCCACCCGAGCCUUGGGCAUGCCAAGUGGAAUGAUAAACAGGGACCAGGAAUGCCACGCGAGACCGGAAAAUCAUAAACAACACAGUGGCAGGAGCGUGUUCAUGUCCAAAACACCAGAAAUCAUGCUGAAGCCCUGCGUGCCCAAGGAGAGAAAACAGUCCUCAGUGAAAGUGUCUCUGUCACCUGGUCUGGAGAGAAAGGCUGGUGACCGCCAGGAAAGAGCUCUGGAGGAGAAACAGGAGGAGCCCGAAUUAGAGGUUGAGACAGAGCAGACAGAGGAUGAAUGUGAUACAAACAAAAUAAGGAAACCCAUACAUAAAGUAAGGGACGUCAGAAGACUUGUUAAAAAUACAUAUAACCUUUCUUUUAAAGCAGCCACCCCUGCUGUGCCACCACAUGCCAUUGAGUCACUGAAGCAGGAGGAGACAGUACCAAUGAAACCUGUCCCGAUGCAGAUUGAGUCACUGAAGCAGGAGGACACAGUACCAAUGAAACCUGUCCCGAUGCAGAUUGAAUCACUGAGGCAGGAGGAGACAGUACCAAUGAAACCUGUCCCAAUGCAGAUUGAAUCACUGAGGCAGGAGGAGACAGGACCAAUGAAACCUGUCCCGAUGCAGAUUGAAUCACUGAGGCAGGAGGAGACAGUACCAAUGAAACCUGUCCCGAUGCAGAUUGAAUCACUGAAGCAGGAGGACACAGUACCAAUGAAACCUGUCCCGAUGCAGAUUGAAUCACUGAGGCAGGAGGAGACAGGACCAAUGAAACCUGUCCCAAUGCAGAUAGAAUGCAGAGCUAUCAACAGGAAGGAUAACAAACAACCCUCUCAACACAAUGACAUGCCUGUGGACACGUCAAAUACAGAUCUACAACAAGAGUCCACAGAAAUGAACCAACAGACAGGAUCCCUCCAAAUCCCUGCUAAGACAACUCAAGCCAACACGUUGACUUCAGACUUGCCACACAAAGAACCAGAUACCCCAGGAAUGGGCACCAACACUGUUUUAGAUGCAUCCGGUCAAAUGGAGAAGGUCUCUAAUGAGGCUGGUCGACACCCAAAGUUGGGCAGUUUACCCAAAAUCCCCAGUAAGGAUAGGGAAGUGUCAAAACUUGUAUUUCAGCCAGAUGGCUCAUCCAAAGGCAUUCCAAAUCCAGACGCCCCACCUUCCCCUCGGUUAGCAGUCCCAAGCAGCAGCCACUCUGUGUCUAUGAUACGAAAGGAAAAGGGAAUGCAAGCUGACAUUGGGGUAUGUGACAGCGUCAGCGAAGGUGCUAGCAACCCUCGUAAACAUGUUAAUAGAAUUGAGGUGCCACUACAGACCUCCUGCAUGGAUGGCACCGCAGGAGAGACGCACAGAAAGGGGGGAGAUACAGCCCAACACUCGACUGCUUCGUCUCCGAGGCUGCCCAGUCCUGAGGAGAUUGGGCCCAAACACAGGAGCUCCCCAAAGCCACAAGGGCAGGAGAAGACAGUUCCCAAGGUUACAUUUGAGGAAAAUCAUAAACAGUCAUCACCGACAAGAGAAGCGCAGGAACUGCCUGACUUGGGAGUUCCUCAGGUUAUCAACAUCAGAAAAGAAACAGCGUCGCCAGUGGUAACAGGCAAAAGCCAGCCUGUUACAGAGGUGAAGCCUGUCCGUGUAGAAGGGAAUGCACCUGCAUCGCAAAAGACAUCAAAAGAGAUAGAGCUUCCUAUACAGGUUAGAUCCAUAUCAUAUGACAGGCCUAAACCAAAACCAAGCUGCAAGCAACCCUUGAUAGAGAUGAAGUCAGUAUCAAAUGACAAAACAAAAGCAGACAAACCCCAACCUGCAAUGGACAAAAAUCAGAGUACAGAAGAAAGAAAGUUUGAAGCAGUUGCUCCUGGUGAGCCAGGGACAAAACCAGCACCACCAGUCCACACAAAUAAAUUAGCAGUAUCAGCCCGAUCAAGCUACAGGCCUCCCCCAAACAAAAUGGCAGCAGUAUCCAGCUUGACUCAGCAAACAGCUGUGGUUGAAUCUUUGAAAGACAAGCAGCUACAUGCAGUACCUACGUCACAAGCCAAUACAACUCAGAUGCCAACAGUUUUCACAUCAAAGGUCCCAGGACAACCCAUCAUUUUGGAUAAAUCAAGCAACCCUGGGGCAUCCAAUAUGCCAUGCCAGGGGCUGCCAGCCAGCUCCAGUGGUUCUAUCCAAACAGUGGGGCCAAUCAUACCACAAGCCCCCAGCUAUACACAGCACCCAGCUGUGAAAUCAGCUGAUAAUCAGUUUCAAACAGAGGAUCUCCAUUUCUAUGCUUCGGAUGACCCACCCAGCUAUGAUGACCGCGAGAGUUUCAGCCCUUACCUCCUGUCAGACUUACCUCCCAAAAGAUCAAAUCGGUACCAUCCAAAUUCCAGGCCUCCGCCAUGCUCUUGCGGCACCAGUUGUUCCUCCCAUCCUGGCCAUCCCCGCCUCAGCCCGCACACUCGCACUCCUCCCAUCGCCCCCCCGCACUCCCCGGGACAGUCUCUACCUUACCCCGGGGCCCCACCUCAAGCCCAGGUCCGUCCUCAUCAGUGCAGACCAGAUGGUCAACCUCUGAGCUAUAAACCAGGCUCACCUAAAGCCCCCAUGCUGAGCCCCACCGCACCACCUCCAGCCAUGUUUCAGCCAGUCCAUCACCCACCUGCCUGUCCUGGGCCACUUCUGCAGCCGUGUGGAGACGAGCGACAGCAGCAUGUGGACCGGCGCCCUGCCCAUCAUCAUCCUCCACAGCAGCAGCAGCACGCAUCAGGUGCUAGUGGUGGGCCAUACAGUGACCAUGUCCAUCCAUCCAACAUGCCCCCCAUGGAGUCUCGACCCCAGUACCUCUGCAGUCCACAAGACCUGGCCUCCUCCUAUGGCUCAGAGUAUGGGCCUGAUGGGCCGGGGGGUGGUAACGUGAUGUACCCGGACAGUACAGGGGGACUUGGAUAUGGGCAAGGUCCUCGACGUGUUCUCCUAGAUCCUGACACAGGGAAGUAUUUCUACAUUGAGGUACCGAUGCAACCCCUCAGAAAGAUGCUGUUUGACCCAGAGACUGGCCAGUAUGUGGAGGUGCUUAUCCCCCAGCAGGCUCUAUCCCACUCCAGCCUGUACUCCCCACCUGCUGCCCCAUACUCCUCCAUGCAUGGGCCAAGUAUGUACUCCCCUCAGUACCUCCCUUACUCUGUCCCAACCCAUCCCCAAGCUACUCACCCUCCUCGAAAUGCUGAGCCCCCCGUCCCUACGACGCUUCAUCAGAACAGCAUAGGUUAUGGGACUCCUCCAGGAGGCCAGGUACCAAAGUCUGAGCUGCAGAACCAGAACCAGCCACCUCUGGAUCAGGGCUACCUGGAGAGCAUGUAUUAUAUCCCAACGGGAAUGAAUGCGAGCCCCAACCCCACACCAUCGGACUGUUACCAUAAGCCCUCGAACCUGCCUACUUCAGGGAGUAGAAGAUCUUGAACUGGUCCUAAUCUAGAGGCUUGAGUUUUAAAUCCCGGUGUAUCAAGGGAGGCUGUGCCGCCCAACAUGACAUGAUGAAUGUCUAUGAAUUAUUGCAAAUGUAAUUGUCCAUUAGAGGUGGGUCUUUGUGUGAAAUUGUACAAUUUUAUCAUCUUUCCUGUUUAAUAACUUUCAGCCUUUUCAAUACUCCACAAGCUCGACAAUGCCACACUCAUUUAGUUGUAUGUCGGCUACAAUGUCACUGGGUAUCCUAACACUUUUCUGAAACACUAUGAAGUACUAUGGACAAGCUGUGAGGAGAGUAUUUAAGGAAGGUCUCAUCUGUCCCUGAGGGGUAAUAGUGGAAACUACUUCUGGUACUUUUUGUGUUAGAAAUGGUUGUCUGUACCUUUAAUUGGAAGAUGUAUUUAUUUUAAUUUGGAGUACAUGUUUAUGUCACUGCAAAUCACAUGACCACCUGUGCGAGCACUUUCAAGUUGUUUUUCCUGGAUGGCGUGCAAUGUCACUCCAAACUGAAUGAGGCCAGGAAUAAAGGCGCUGUGUAGAUCUGUAUUUAUAAUGUUUGGAUAAAAGUUGUACACAUUAAUACACCAUUCUGUCCCAGUUUGUUGUCCUUCCCUGAAAGUCAAAUGGCUGUCCCAAUGCAUUUAUCCAAUAAAGAAUCAACAGAUAAUUGAUCAAAUUUCUGCUAAUAUGUUUGUAUAUUUUAGAUCUCAUCAUGAGAAUACAACAUCUCUCCUCAUGAAAAUACAGCAUUCUUCCACUUACAUAUCCUAGAUAUGAAUUGUGCAACCUUGAUGUGGGCGCUCAUCCAGCCAACUGGAGGCUACGACAAACACUCAAUAGACUCUUCAGUAGGGUGGAGGGAAUUCUGACAUACUUUGUCAAAGAGCGCCAUCUCAUGGAGAGAAUUGACAUGGUUUCAUAUGAGUUAUAGCUUCAAGUCUCUAUAUAUUUGUGACAGAGCUAAUGUACUAGUGUAAGAUUACACAUCCCUGUAUGAAAUACAAAAUUAAGGUCAAAAUUCAGCCCUACAGUCAAAAUAUGUUUCUUUUUCAUCUUUGGUCAACCAACAAGCAUACAUGACACAACAGGAUGUUUCAUUAGAAUCAUGUGUUUUUCAUGUUUGGGCGUGUCCACUGACAAAGAGAAAAGGAAAACUUGGUUGAUGGCUAAAAGCUUAAGGUCACAUACAUCAAAGCAGCCCAGGUGCAAUUUGAGUUUCCAUACAAGUAAAGCUGAUAUAAUAAAAUGAAUAACUG
This is a long non-coding RNA of Clupea harengus (Atlantic herring), 11041 nucleotides long. NCBI's taxonomy places the organism in Eukaryota, Metazoa, Chordata, Actinopteri, Clupeiformes, Clupeidae. The record is from Ensembl.